Long non-coding RNA from Arabidopsis thaliana (thale cress), 315 nucleotides. RefSeq annotates it as other RNA. Lineage: Eukaryota; Viridiplantae; Streptophyta; Magnoliopsida; Brassicales; Brassicaceae. The transcript has a single exon. The record is from RefSeq.
UCACCUUCCGACGAUAUUGGGAGGAGGGUUAUUAAUUAGCAGUUGAAGAAAGAGUAGCAUAAGAUGUUGUAUCUGGUUGACACAUCCUCGACACGACUUCGGAGAUUACUUGCAUCAUUUCUCCGGUGAAUUGAAGGAGCGGUUUUCGGACAAAGCGUGCCCAUAAUCCCAAAACACCUACCAUCACCAUUCCCGUUUCAGCUAUCAUAUCUUCCACUUCUUUUCCUUUGCAAUCUCACUAAUGUCUUCGAUAAUAAACUCGAUACUUGAGACUAGUUAUGGCUAAAGCUUUUUGUGAGGGGUACGUUGAACUGU